GUACUCACUGCAGCAGCACACAUACUAAAAUUGGAACAGUACAGAGAAGAUUAGCAUAGCCCUUGCGCAAGGGUGACACACAAUUCGUGAAGUGUUCCAUAUUAAA
This is a non-coding RNA of Pteropus alecto (black flying fox), 106 nucleotides long. Lineage: Eukaryota; Metazoa; Chordata; Mammalia; Chiroptera; Pteropodidae. The record is from Rfam.